RNAcentral lists this ribosomal RNA (305 nucleotides) under uncultured bacterium. Its description in RNAcentral is "bacterial SSU rRNA". It matches the Rfam family "Bacterial small subunit ribosomal RNA", at positions 338 to 640 of the family's 1533-position model. The record is from RNAcentral.
CCUACGGGGGGCAGCAGUGAGGAAUAUUGGUCAAUGGCCGGAAGGCUGAACCAGCCAAGCCGCGUGAAGGACGAAGGUGCCAAGCAUUGUAAACUUCUUUCGUCAAGGGACAAAAUCAGGCUCGAGAGCCUGACCGAGGGUACUUGAAGAAAAAGCAUCGGCUAACUCCGUACCAGCAGCCGCGGUAAUACGGAGGAUGCGAGCGUUAUCCGGAUUUACUGGGUGUAAAGGGAGCGUAGACGGCGGUGCAAGCCAGAUGUGAAAGCCCGGGGCUCAACCCCGGGACUGCAUUUGGAACUGUAUGG